RNAcentral lists this transfer RNA (77 nucleotides) under Bacillus sp. MUM 116. RNAcentral describes it as "tRNA-Ile". It matches the Rfam family "tRNA". Rfam says of the family: Transfer RNA (tRNA) molecules are approximately 80 nucleotides in length. Their secondary structure includes four short double-helical elements and three loops (D, anti-codon, and T loops). Further hydrogen bonds mediate the characteristic L-shaped molecular structure. tRNAs have two regions of fundamental functional importance: the anti-codon, which is responsible for specific mRNA codon recognition, and the 3' end, to which the tRNAs corresponding amino acid is attached (by aminoacyl-tRNA synthetases). tRNAs cope with the degeneracy of the genetic code in two manners: having more than one tRNA (with a specific anti-codon) for a particular amino acid; and 'wobble' base-pairing, i.e. permitting non-standard base-pairing at the 3rd anti-codon position. Lineage: Bacteria; Bacillati; Bacillota; Bacilli; Caryophanales; Bacillaceae. The record is from RNAcentral.
GGUCUGGUAGUUCAGUUGGUUAGAGCGCACGCCUGAUAAGCGUGAGGUCGAUGGUUCGAGUCCAUUUAGGACCACCA